Perkinsus marinus ATCC 50983 is the source of this 72-nucleotide non-coding RNA. Lineage: Eukaryota; Perkinsozoa; Perkinsida; Perkinsidae. The record is from Rfam.
GGGUGUGUGGUGUAGCGGUAUCACGUCUGCUUCGCAUGCAGAAGGCCCCGGGUUCAAUUCCCGGCACAUCCA